This 253-nucleotide ribosomal RNA is filed under the name uncultured bacterium. RNAcentral's name for it is "partial 16S ribosomal RNA". It matches the Rfam family "Bacterial small subunit ribosomal RNA", at positions 524 to 776 of the family's 1533-position model. The record is from RNAcentral.
UACGUAGGUGGCAAGCGUUGUCCGGAAUUACUGGGUGUAAAGGGCGUGUAGGCGGGAGAAUAAGUCAGAUGUGAGAUUCCAGGGCUCAACCCUGGCGCUGCAUCUGAAACUAUUUUUCUUGAGUGCUGGAGAGGGAAGCGGAAUUCCUAGUGUAGCGGUGAAAUGCGUAGAUAUUAGGAGGAACACCAGUGGCGAAGGCGGCUUUCUGGACAGUAACUGACGCUGAGGCGCGAAAGCGUGGGGAGCAAACAGG